UAUAUACUCCCUCUGUCCGAAAAUACUUGUUGGAGAAAUGAUAAAAAUAGAUGUAUCUAGAACUAAAAUACGUCUAGAUACACCCAAUUCUCCGACAAGUAUUUCCGCACGGAGGGAGUAUUUA
Non-coding RNA from Hordeum vulgare subsp. vulgare (domesticated barley), 124 nucleotides. NCBI's taxonomy places the organism in Eukaryota, Viridiplantae, Streptophyta, Magnoliopsida, Poales, Poaceae. The record is from Rfam.